UACGGAGGGUGCAAGCGUUAAUCGGAAUUACUGGGCGUAAAGGGUGUGUAGGUGGUUUAUUAAGUUAUCUGUGAAAUCCCUGGGCUUAACCUGGGACUGUCAGAUAAGACUGUUAAACUUGAGUAUAGGAGAGGGUAGUGGAAUUUCCGGUGUAGCGGUGAAAUGCGUAGAGAUCGGAAGGAACACCAGUGGCGAAGGCGGCUACCUGGCCUAAUACUGACACUGAGACACGAAAGCGUGGGGAGCAAACAGG
Molecule: ribosomal RNA, 253 nt
Filed under: uncultured bacterium
Lineage: Bacteria
Description: partial 16S ribosomal RNA
Rfam family: Bacterial small subunit ribosomal RNA
Source: RNAcentral